This 233-nucleotide ribosomal RNA is filed under the name uncultured bacterium. RNAcentral describes it as "partial 16S ribosomal RNA". It matches the Rfam family "Archaeal small subunit ribosomal RNA", at positions 745 to 926 of the family's 1478-position model. The record is from RNAcentral.
UCCCAGCCGUAAACGAUGCAGGCUAGGUGUGUGGACGCCUUAGGGGCGUCCAUGUGCCGAAGGGAAACCGUUAAGCCUGCCGCCUGGGGAGUACGGCCGCAAGGCUGAAACCCUAGGAGGCCCUUAAUCGAUAUGGUGAGGAAGGGCUUUUCCUAGGGCAGCAUACUUAAAGGAAUUGGCGGGGGACACCAAAGGGGUAGCCUGCGGUUCAAUUGGAGUCAACGCCCGAAACC